AUUGAACGCUGGCGGAAUGCUUUACACAUGCAAGUCGAACGGUAGAGGGGGCAACCCCUUGAGAGUGGCGAACGGGUGAGUAAUAUAUCGGAACGUGCCCAGUCGUGGGGAUAACGUAGCGAAAGUUACGCUAAUACCGCAUACGAUCUAAGGAUGAAAGCGGGGGAUCGCAAGACCUCGCGCGAUUGGAGCGGCCGAUAUCAGAUUAGGUAGUUGGUGAGGUAAAGGCUCACCAAGCCAACGAUCUGUAGCUGGUCUGAGAGGACGACCAGCCACACUGGAACUGAGACACGGUCCAGACUCCUACGGGAGGCAGCAGUGGGGAAUUUUGGACAAUGGACGCAAGUCUGAUCCAGCCAUUCCGCGUGCAGGAUGAAGGCCCUCGGGUUGUAAACUGCUUUUGUACGGAACGAAAGGUUUGUCUUAAUACGAUGAGCUCAUGACGGUACCGUAAGAAUAAGCACCGGCUAACUACGUGCCAGCAGCCGCGGUAAAGU
RNAcentral lists this ribosomal RNA (497 nucleotides) under uncultured bacterium. RNAcentral describes it as "bacterial SSU rRNA". It matches the Rfam family "Bacterial small subunit ribosomal RNA", at positions 30 to 526 of the family's 1533-position model. The record is from RNAcentral.